CACGUAGUUAGCCGGUGCUUAUUCUUCCGGUACCGUCAUCGACCCGGGGUAUUAGCCCAGGCCAUUUCUUUCCGGACAAAAGUGCUUUACAACCCGAAGGCCUUCUUCACACACGCGGCAUUGCUGGAUCAGGGUUGCCCCCAUUGUCCAAAAUUCCCCA
Molecule: ribosomal RNA, 160 nt
Filed under: uncultured bacterium
Lineage: Bacteria
Description: partial 16S ribosomal RNA
Source: RNAcentral